CAAAGCAGCAGCAGCGUUCCACGACCAGCAUCCGACAUCGUGAUAAUAUGGAUUAUUAUUAACGGUCUAGAAUCUUAGAUUUCCAACGGAUUCGUCCGCUCCGCUUCCACCCUUGUCUAGGCUGGCUCUUCUUUUCUUCGUCUUCUAACCCAUAAACCCCAUUCCUUGAGCCCUUUCUCAAAAUCUCAUGUAGAUCCAGUGGAUAUCUCCAGAUGUCGCAUGAAUGGCCUGGAAUUAAAAAUUAAGUGGAAAUUACCUGGCUGCUUUGACUCCAGUACUAUCCCAUAUUGCACCUACUUUUGCUUUGGUACCGCUUGUGCAGAUAUCUGCUGUUGAAGACUGAAAGACAAGUGCCAAAAGUUCAUCUGAUAUAAUCUGAUACCCGAGCUUCCCAUCAUCUUCGGUUGCUAACAAGAAAAAGUUUUCAUUUGAUGCACACUCAUCUGCAAGUGGAAUAGGGUCUUCCAAAUUUUCAGAAUCAAUGAAUGUUGAAAUAGAUGCUCCCAGUUCCUCAGGAAACUGAUUUACUGCAGAUCAAGAUCUCCCCAAUUCAUGAAAGCAUGGAUCCUGGGGGUGUAAGUGAUGCAUUGAAGUAUAAUCAAUCUCUUGCUACAUAUUUGUCAUUCCUUUUUGGGAGGUCAGUGUUCAUGUGCAGGGUAUGUAUGGUGGCCAUCUGCAUACCAUAAAACGGCGCAAUGCAGCCUUGGUGUAAACAUGCUAGAAGAUGAACCUCCAUAAGCAAUAUACCUUUUUCAUGCACAUACAAUAUUCUUUUGUAUUGGCGCCAGUCUCUGGCCCUUCGCUACUGCAGGGGGCUAACAUAUAGGUUAUGUCAACAACCUGACCAACUAAUGGGAGAAGGCCAAGUAGCUUAGUGGCCUGCUUGACUGUAUUGUAUGUGCCGGUGAUGUUGACAUAGCUGGAGGCUUGGGGCAUUAUAGCAGAGGCAAUGAAGAUUCUCUAAUAAAACUAAAACCAUCGAAUGGGAAACGACUUGUUUGGUGAAAGGAACACGGCCUACCAGCUUGCAGCAUUUAAACAAUAACUCAGUUGAGUUCUUUAGUGUGGAUCACAAAGAUUACUUGCUUAUUUUUUUGUGAAGGGUGAAUCAAAGAUGCUUUUUCUGGUCCUACUUUCUGGAAUUCGUGUGGAGAAAAGAAACCGUACACUGACUUGCUUUGUUUUAACUUGCAUCUUCUCUAUUUAUGGCUUUUCAGCAUUUUAUAA
Elaeis guineensis (African oil palm) is the source of this 1227-nucleotide non-coding RNA. Lineage: Eukaryota; Viridiplantae; Streptophyta; Magnoliopsida; Arecales; Arecaceae. The record is from RefSeq and is a predicted model, not a curated record.